AUGGCUCCCCAGCGCCGCCACCACGCGGCGUGCCUCCUCGUCCUCCUCGCGCUGUGCGCCGCGCCGGCCCACGGCGGCCUCGCGCUGCCGGCCAGGGUCAGCAAGGCGCUGGCGGCGGCGGCCAACGCGACGGCGACGGCGGACGAGUUCCUGGCGCCGCACAACAAGGCGCGCGCGGCGGUCGGGGUGGCUGCGCUGCGGUGGAGCGCCGACCUGACGGCGGCGGCGGCGUGGACCUCGUCCCAGCAGCAGAAGCAGAAGAACUGCGCGUUCGCGGACAUGGGCGCCAGCCCCUACGGCGCGAACCAGGGGUGGGCGAGCUACCGCGCGCGCCCGGCCGAGGUGGUGGCCUCCUGGGUGGCGCAGGGCAAGUACUACACCCACGCCAACAACACCUGCGCCGCCGGCCAGCAGUGCGGCACCUACACGCAGGUGGUGUGGCGCCGCACCGCCGAGGUCGGCUGCGCGCAGGCCAGCUGCGCCUCCGGCGCCACGCUCACGCUCUGCCUCUACAACCCGCACGGCAACGUCAAGGGCGAGAGCCCCUACUAG
Molecule: ribosomal RNA, 552 nt
Filed under: Triticum aestivum (bread wheat)
Lineage: Eukaryota; Viridiplantae; Streptophyta; Magnoliopsida; Poales; Poaceae
Description: partial small subunit ribosomal RNA
Source: RNAcentral